RNAcentral lists this ribosomal RNA (411 nucleotides) under uncultured microorganism. RNAcentral describes it as "bacterial SSU rRNA". It matches the Rfam family "Archaeal small subunit ribosomal RNA", at positions 330 to 745 of the family's 1478-position model. The record is from RNAcentral.
GUGCAGCAGGCGCGAAAACUUUACAAUGUGCGAAAGCACGAUAAGGGAACUCUGAGUGCCUCCUAAGGAGGCUGUUCAGGUGUCUAAAAGCACCUGAAGGAAGGGCUGGGUAAGACCGGUGCCAGCCGCCGCGGUAACACCGGCAGCCCAAGUGGUAGCCACGUUUAUUGGGUCUAAAGCGUCCGUAGCCGGCUGGGUAAGUUCCUUGGGAAAUUUGGCUGCUUAACAGUCAAGCUUUCAGGGAAUACUGCUCGGCUUGGGGACCGGGAGAGGUCAGAGGUACUCCAGGGGUAGGGGUGAAAUCCAUUAAUCCUUGGGGGACCACCGGUAGCGAAGGCGUCUGACCAGACCGGGUCCGACGGUGAGGGACAAAGGCUAGGGGCGCGAACCGGAUUAGGAUACCCGCGUAGU